CGGGGCGUAGCGCAGACGGCUAGCGCGCCUGCCUUGGGAGCAGGAGGUCGCUGGUUCAAGUCCAGUCGCCCCGA
Molecule: transfer RNA, 74 nt
Filed under: Pseudothermotoga thermarum DSM 5069
Lineage: Bacteria; Thermotogati; Thermotogota; Thermotogae; Thermotogales; Thermotogaceae
Description: Thermotoga thermarum DSM 5069 tRNA
Rfam family: tRNA
About the family: Transfer RNA (tRNA) molecules are approximately 80 nucleotides in length. Their secondary structure includes four short double-helical elements and three loops (D, anti-codon, and T loops).
Source: Rfam by way of RNAcentral